Molecule: ribosomal RNA, 207 nt
Filed under: uncultured bacterium
Lineage: Bacteria
Description: partial 16S ribosomal RNA
Rfam family: Bacterial small subunit ribosomal RNA
Source: RNAcentral
CGCGUAGGCGGUUUUUUAAGUCGGAUGUGAAAGCCCCGGGCUUAACCUGGGAACUGCAUUCGAUACUGGGAGACUAGAGUACGAGAGAGGGAGGUAGAAUUCCACGUGUAGCGGUGAAAUGCGUAGAUAUGUGGAGGAAUACCGGUGGCGAAGGCGGCCUCCUGGCUCGAUACUGACGCUCAGGUGCGAAAGCGUGGGGAGCAAACA